RNAcentral lists this unclassified non-coding RNA (271 nucleotides) under Hevea brasiliensis (rubber tree). Lineage: Eukaryota; Viridiplantae; Streptophyta; Magnoliopsida; Malpighiales; Euphorbiaceae. The record is from RNAcentral.
GCAUCUUCUGCGGUUCAUCAAGUCGAAACUGAGAAAAGAACCUGAUGAGGUAGUCAUAUUUCGGGAUGGACAAUAUCUUACACUGAAGGAAGUCUUUGAGAGUUUGGACUUGACAGGGUAUGAUAUGAAUGUUGAUCUAUUGGACGUACAUGCUGAUAAGAGUACAUUUCACCGGUUUGACAAAUUCAAUCUCAAAUAUAAUCCAUGCGGACAAAGCAGACUCAGAGAAAUCUUUUUAAAGCAAGACAACCUUAUCCAAGGACGCUUCUUG